RNAcentral lists this ribosomal RNA (517 nucleotides) under uncultured bacterium. RNAcentral describes it as "partial 16S ribosomal RNA". It matches the Rfam family "Bacterial small subunit ribosomal RNA", at positions 28 to 523 of the family's 1533-position model. The record is from RNAcentral.
GACGUACGCUGGCGGCGUGCCUAAUACAUGCAAGUCGAGCGGACCGAACGAGGGCUUGCUCUUGUUUGGUCAGCGGCGGACGGGUGAGUAACACGUGGGCAACCUGCCCGCAAGACCGGGAUAACUCCGGGAAACCGGAGCUAAUACCGGAUAACACCGAAGACCGCAUGGUCUUCGGUUGAAAGGCGGCCUUUGGGCUGUCACUUGCGGAUGGGCCCGCGGCGCAUUAGCUAGUUGGUGAGGUAACGGCUCACCAAGGCGACGAUGCGGAGCCCGCCUGGGAGGGUGACCGGCCACACUGGGACGGAGACACGGCCCAGACUCCUACGGGAGGCAGCAGUAGGGAAUCUUCCGCAAUGGGCGAAAGCCUGACGGAGCGACGCCGCGUGAGCGAAGAAGGCCUUCGGGUCGUAAAGCUCUGUUGUGAGGGACGAAGGAGCGCCGUUCGAAGAGGGCGGCGCGGUGACGGUACCUCACGAGAAAGCCCCGGCUAGCUACGUGCCAGCCGCCGCAGUAA